UCCCUGGUGGUCCAGUGGCUAAGACUCUGCACUCCCAAUACAGGGGCCUGGGUUCAAUCCCUGGUCAGGGAA
Molecule: transfer RNA, 72 nt
Filed under: Bos taurus (domestic cattle)
Lineage: Eukaryota; Metazoa; Chordata; Mammalia; Artiodactyla; Bovidae
Also listed under: 5 other names
Rfam family: tRNA
About the family: Transfer RNA (tRNA) molecules are approximately 80 nucleotides in length. Their secondary structure includes four short double-helical elements and three loops (D, anti-codon, and T loops).
Source: Rfam by way of RNAcentral